RNAcentral lists this ribosomal RNA (775 nucleotides) under Salmonella enterica. RNAcentral describes it as "partial 23S ribosomal RNA". It matches the Rfam family "Bacterial large subunit ribosomal RNA", at positions 727 to 1503 of the family's 2925-position model. The record is from RNAcentral. Lineage: Bacteria; Pseudomonadati; Pseudomonadota; Gammaproteobacteria; Enterobacterales; Enterobacteriaceae.
GAUCUAGCCAUGGGCAGGUUGAAGGUUGGGUAACACUAACUGGAGGACCGAACCGACUAAUGUUGAAAAAUUAGCGGAUGACCUGUGGCUGGGGGUGAAAGGCCAAUCAAACCGGGAGAUAGCUGGUUCUCCCCGAAAGCUAUUUAGGUAGCGCCUCGUGAAUUCAUCUCCGGGGGUAGAGCACUGUUUCGGCUAGGGGGCCAUCCCGGCUUACCAACCCGAUGCAAACUGCGAAUACCGGAGAAUGUUAUCACGGGAGACACACGGCGGGUGCUAACGUCCGUCGUGAAGAGGGAAACAACCCAGACCGCCAGCUAAGGUCCCAAAGUCAUGGUUAAGUGGGAAACGAUGUGGGAAGGCCCAGACAGCCAGGAUGUUGGCUUAGAAGCAGCCAUCAUUUAAAGAAAGCGUAAUAGCUCACUGGUCGAGUCGGCCUGCGCGGAAGAUGUAACGGGGCUAAACCAUGCACCGAAGCUGCGGCAGCGACGCUGAUGCGUUGUUGGGUAGGGGAGCGUUCUGUAAGCCUGUGAAGGUGGCCUGUGAGGGUUGCUGGAGGUAUCAGAAGUGCGAAUGCUGACAUAAGUAACGAUAAAGCGGGUGAAAAGCCCGCUCGCCGGAAGACCAAGGGUUCCUGUCCAACGUUAAUCGGGGCAGGGUGAGUCGACCCCUAAGGCGAGGCCGAAAGGCGUAGUCGAUGGGAAACGGGUUAAUAUUCCCGUACUUGGUGUUACUGCGAAGGGGGGACGGAGAAGGCUAUGUUGGCCGGGCGACGGUU